Molecule: long non-coding RNA, 342 nt
Organism: Hippoglossus stenolepis (Pacific halibut)
Lineage: Eukaryota; Metazoa; Chordata; Actinopteri; Pleuronectiformes; Pleuronectidae
Exons: 3
Source: RefSeq, a predicted model, not a curated record
AAAUUGCGGCUCCGCUUCAUUAGCGGUCUCUCUUCCUCGUUGCGGUGACGGAGGAAGCGCGUGUCUCUGCGGAGGAAUCACACGCAAACACAUGUUCUGCUUCGUCCUCGAUUAACCACCCUCAGAGCCCGACCUGGAUGGAUCUGAUGAGAUAAGGUAAUGGGAGCGAUGCAGAAACGGAUCUAUGCUGGAUCGCUUCGGUUUGGGAUUUUGUAAUUUAAAGCUGAAACUACGCUAAAUAGUAUUUCUUGCUCUUAUCACUGUAUUCAAAGUUGAAGGUCGCCAUUUCCUUGUGCCAUUGUAUAAACUGGAUCGCUGUCAAAUAAAGAGAAUUGUGUAAAA